This 443-nucleotide ribosomal RNA is filed under the name uncultured bacterium. RNAcentral's name for it is "bacterial SSU rRNA". It matches the Rfam family "Bacterial small subunit ribosomal RNA", at positions 355 to 822 of the family's 1533-position model. The record is from RNAcentral.
UGGGGAAUAUUGGACAAUGGGCGCAAGCCUGAUCCAGCCAUGCCGCGUGGAUGAUGAAGGCCUUAGGGUUGUAAAAUCCUUUCGUGGGGGACGAUAAUGACGGUACCCCAAGAAGAAGCUCCGGCUAACUUCGUGCCAGCAGCCGCGGUAAUACGAAGGGGGCUAGCGUUGUUCGGAUUUACUGGGCGUAAAGCGCGUGUAGGCGGGUCGUUAAGUUGGGGGUGAAAUCCCGAGGCUCAACCUCGGAACUGCCUUCAAAACUGGCGACCUGGACCUAAGUAGAGGCAAGUGGAAUUGCGAGUGUAGAGGUGAAAUUCGUAGAUAUUCGCAGGAACACCAGUGGCGAAGGCGACCACCUGGUUGGAUACUGACGCUGAGACGCGAAAGCGUGGGAGCAAACAGGAUUAGAUACCCAAGUAGUCCCUGAGCGGGCUGGCAAGGCG